UCACCUGCUUGAUAUUCAUGGCAAUCUGAUUUGGGGUUUCGAAGCCUACUCAUCAUCAAAUACAUCGGUGUAUCGAAAUAUGAAAGUCCAGGUAGAUGAAGAUCGAUCGGAAGUAGGCACCAUUCCCACCACUACUAAUACCUCUAAUGUUAUUCAUGGUAAGACCCUGCUCUAAUUUAUGGCUUACAAAGACAUGGUGGGUAUUAGGUUAUUCGCCGUGAGUUAGAAUACGACGUCGGUGUCGUCAACGUGGUGGCCGGUGACAGAGCAUGGUGGUCACGGUUGUUCGGAUUGGUCCCCGUGUCAGAUUGUUCCCGGUGAGGCAGAAUCCGUGACGGUCCGGUGACGCGAUUCAGAUAUGUUUCAGCAAGAUUCCGGUGAGCACGAUCAGAUUAUAGAAGAAGCAUUAGUAAAGACCGGAAAUGAUAUAGAUCCUUCCAUUAAGAGUCUCAAUGACUUUACAAAUAGGAUGAAGCGGUGACAGAGUGUGGUGGUGACAAUUGUUCGAAUUGGUCGCCGCCUAACGUGGUGGUGGAAUUGACUUCUGUUAAAGAUUUUGGGACAUAGGGCCAGGUUGAUGCGUGUAAGAAGUCCGUGUGGAAUAGGUUUUGCUAAUGGAGUCGUGGAUGCGGUUAGUCUGGUUAUAGGUGCGGCUUGGCCUGCGCUCUAUAAGUCGACUGAACUGGCACUUAAGUCGUCAUCGUCACAGUCAUCAAAAGCGCUUUCUGAUGGUUCAUUACCCGUUGCAUUACAUGUAGCAGUUUUACAUAGUUGCAUAUGUAUAAGUUUAAGAUGUUUAUGAAUUACAUUGCUCAUAUCUUGGUUAAUAGAUUGCUUACUAAGUGAAUUGGCCGAUU
Helianthus annuus (common sunflower) is the source of this 857-nucleotide long non-coding RNA. RefSeq lists it as uncharacterized. NCBI's taxonomy places the organism in Eukaryota, Viridiplantae, Streptophyta, Magnoliopsida, Asterales, Asteraceae. The transcript is spliced from 3 exons. The record is from RefSeq and is a predicted model, not a curated record.